CCGUCCUCAACGGGGUGCUAAUAAACAUGUCUUUCUCCUUUGCAGAAAGGUAUGGGCUGAGAACAUACCCGUCGAACCUGAUCCGGAUAACGCCGGCGAAGGGAUUUGAGACCGCUUCUCAA
Molecule: non-coding RNA, 122 nt
Filed under: Citrobacter rodentium
Lineage: Bacteria; Pseudomonadati; Pseudomonadota; Gammaproteobacteria; Enterobacterales; Enterobacteriaceae
Also listed under: 1 other name
Description: TPP sequence
Rfam family: TPP riboswitch aptamer (THI element)
About the family: Vitamin B(1) in its active form thiamin pyrophosphate (TPP) is an essential coenzyme that is synthesised by coupling of pyrimidine and thiazole moieties in bacteria. The previously detected thiamin-regulatory element, thi box was extended, resulting in a new, highly conserved RNA secondary structure, the THI element, which is widely distributed in eubacteria and also occurs in some archaea.
Source: RNAcentral